CUAUGUCUCUUUGCUAAUAUUUUUUUUAAAUAAUUAUUUUGUAUUUGAUUGAAUAAUUUUGUGUUUUGUUUUCUUAAAUCUAAAUUAUAAUAUUGUUGCAUGGACAAUUGAUUUUGAUUUUGAUUUUGGAAAAACAAAAAAGCAUUUAAUGAGGUUUGGUGAAGAGUUCUAAGACUUUGAUGUAUGUAUCAAAGCCUUUACUGUAAAUCCGAGGUACCAUAGUUAUUAUCUACAACCUCCCCGGCCCCCUUAAACCUUCUCCUUUUCACUUUCUCUCUUAUUACAAACACACACCAUAUCCUAUUCUAUUCUUUUUGCCUCUCAUCAUCAAUUAAUUUCUCUCUUUUCUUUUGGGUGCAGUAAUGAGAUUAGUUUUUGUUAUUUGUGUGUCAUGCUUGUUGAUUUUGGCAAGUUAUAAUCGGUCUGAUCAUCAUGCAGUGGCUAGAAAACUUGAUGCCAAUAAAGAAUCAUCUUCCAUGGAGGGUACCAUCAACAAUUUCUUCUCAAGCUUUGAGAAAAAGAAGAAGAACAACAACAACAACAACACUUUGGAGGAAAAGCGAGUGGUUCCCACAGGUCCAAAUCCUUUACACAACUAGUAGAGAAGAAGAGGUAGCUAUGAUUAAUUCCUAGAAAUGAAAUUAAUUAAUGCUGUAAAGUUAUUGCAUGCUUCACAUAUUAUUCUAUUUCAAUGGAUUUUUUUUUUUGGCAUAGUAAAGAGAAAAAUUAGGAAAUAAUAUACUUGUUUCAAAUCCUUUUUUUUUUUUUUUCUAAAUUUGCUUCUGUAGAUUUUAAUGCCCUUUACUUUUCUUAGAUUUUCCUUAGAUUUUCUCGAGAUCUUGGAGUUUUAUCAAGUUGAUUAACCGGCUUGUAGCUUAAAAUCAAUCCCCUUGUUGCUAUUCUUUUGCUAAUUGCAAGAACUAAAAUGUUAGUGGGAAUUAAGAAUGUAUUUUCAUUUCAGUUUAUGUAAUCAAGUAUACGCCAUUUUCAUCAAGAAAAUGAAAGAGUAAGAAGAAAUCAAGAAGUGGGUAAUAACAUAUGGGUCCUGAAUGUCCGUCAAAAUCACAAAUAAGGGUGUAUAUACACAUAUAUAGACAGAGUUUGCAGCUCUUUUCAUAUGAGUCUUUUGAUGUAAUGCUGCUAGCGUCGGUUGCUAAUUGCUUAAUAAAGUCAACGAAAUUCUUGUUCCACCUCUUGAAUCAGCUUAUAUCUACAGUUACGUUAGUUUUUAUAAGCAUAAUCUGAUGCGGAAGGGGACUCUUAUAAAAGAAAUGCAAAUUGUCUCAAGAUUAACUUCUAAUUUUACUAACAAUCAGGGAUAUGAGUGUUAUUAUCGAGACGAGAAAGAAUAGAUAAUAUAAACCACAAUUCCACUCUUUUACUCUCUCUUUUUUGUCCGUUGAGUUUGUUAUUUUUCCAGAAGAAAUUGGAAUGUAAUCCACGGCUGGCUGUUUUCAUUUUUGUGGGUGGAGUAUAAUGCUGCUUGGCGAAAGCAACACAUCAGUUUUCACAUUCUUUGCCAAUAUCAUGUUCUCGUGGAGGCGAGAGAGAAAUUAAUAAAUAUGAGAAGCUUAAGGAAAAAAAAUAUGUAAGCGAAGUAUGGGCCAACUUGUCUGCUUUGAUAUGUUUCCUGUAUUGCUCGGAUAUGUUUCCUGAUUCGGAAAACAGCAUUAAAAUUAUGUGUCAGAAGAAACUUAAAUGCUACUCGUUAAAGUGAGAAAAAAAAAUUCAAUGGCUGCUGCUCUGUGGCCAGUUACCUGACUUUAUUCAAUGAAAAGUUGCUUUUCAAUAAAGCUAGUUUUAACUUUUCAACUCUUUUCAUUUUUAUCUUUAUUUACAAAUUAUUUUGCUAGUUUCAACACAGGGGAAGAGUCAAGAUAUUGCUAUACGAGUGACGAUGUAAAAGAUCAAGCAUAUUGGGUUUCGUGUGCGAAAGUUGAGUGAGAAAGAGAG
This 1953-nucleotide long non-coding RNA is filed under the name Citrus maxima (pomelo). Its description in RNAcentral is "long non-coding RNA (CMAX_LNC001989)". The record is from RNAcentral. Lineage: Eukaryota; Viridiplantae; Streptophyta; Magnoliopsida; Sapindales; Rutaceae.